Long non-coding RNA from Sycon ciliatum, 164 nucleotides. RefSeq lists it as uncharacterized. NCBI's taxonomy places the organism in Eukaryota, Metazoa, Porifera, Calcarea, Leucosolenida, Sycettidae. The transcript has 3 exons. The record is from RefSeq and is a predicted model, not a curated record.
GAUCAGGGUGGCGAUGGUCAGUUCUUGAGCUUCGAACUGGCAGAAAGCUAUGCAAAAGGUUCAGGGUGGCUAUCGUCAGUUCUUGAGCUUCGAACGGGCAGAAAGCUAUGCAACAAGAUCAGGGUGGCGAUGGUCGGUUCUUGAGCUUCGAACGGGCAGAAAGG